ACGAGUCCUGAGCAUGCUCCGAGUUCUAGUAUGUCUUUGUGUUGUUAUCGUUGCUGGAUUUUGAAGAUCUAUCCAAAGGAGGAAGAAAAGUGAUGGAGAUCCUAUUCCACUGAUUUACAAACUGGGGGAACCCUUCCACUGAGACAUAGCAACUAGGCCCCUUAUUGAGAAUGAGGUGAAGAUUCCUGCCAAAAGGAGACAUCUCCUAUCACAGCUGACCUAGCAGUGGUGCUCCACUCUUUUUGACAAGCGGAAAGGAAUGGCUGAAGGCUGUUGGAAAAGAUGCAUCUGUCAGUGCCUACCCUGAGGUUGAGGCAGUCAGAAACCAGAAAAGUCCUUGACUUACUAUGGUCACUGUUUAUCUUUAAGAGGAUGUUCUUAUUCUUUGUUUUAUGAAUUUUGGGUUUUUUGCUACUUGUAUUGUGAGAAAUGGGGUAAUCUUUACAAAGCUACUGUCUUAUGUUACUAAUUUGUGUGAGUGACGCAUGCAUGUAAAAUGAUAAAGAGUGAAGGCACCCACCACUAUGCCCAGAGAGGGCUGAGGAGGAGUAAGAGACUCAGAAAAAAAAGGGGAUUGUCAGAACUCUGGAGCUGAACAGACGCACAAUGCUAGAUAAGGGGCAGAUUGACAACUCUGGAGCUGAGGAAUGUACCCCCAAAGGACAAGUUAACCAACUCAAAUCAAAACCAGAAGUGUGGCAACUCCCAGCAAUACCCAUCAGAAUGUUAAUGAAGGAUAACUACACCAACAGCCUUUUGAUAAACACUUGUUAAAGAGUAAUUAAUUACAACAUGACAUUGCAAAAUCCAUAGACUGAAAUGGGGAGUUAUAACUAUAAAAUAGGGUACAUUGCCAUGGGACUUUGGGUUCCUUGCGCAAGAGCCAUUCUUCCUGAAAAAAUGAGGAAGAAUGGCUCUUG
Non-coding RNA from Pelodiscus sinensis (Chinese soft-shelled turtle), 920 nucleotides. The record is from RefSeq and is a predicted model, not a curated record. NCBI's taxonomy places the organism in Eukaryota, Metazoa, Chordata, Testudines, Trionychidae.